CGCCGGCCCCGCCUCCCAGGCCAGAGCAGCGGAGCCCCGAGCUGGUGCUCGGGGCAGGGGGAGCCGCGGGCCUGCACCUCCAAGAGCGGCGGGGUGGAGCCGGGGCUGCAGGCAGCCGGACGGAAUCAUUAGUUCAUUGAGUGACUGUAGCAGGCCUGUGGCAUGACAGUCACUGUCUGGGCUCUGUGAACACUGGUCUGUGCCCAGGGACCAGGACAGUGAGGCCCCUUGCCCUUGGAACAUGCAUGCUAGAGGGGACAAACAAAAGGAAAUGACUCAACAGGUAACAAUGUGUCCAUCAGGGAUAGUGAUAAGAAGAAAAAUAAAGCAAGACCAGAGGAUAGGGGGUGAUGGGAAUGAGGGAAAAAUUCUCUGGGGAUCUGGUCCUGAAGAAGAGACCUGAAUGAAGGAGGUGGAGGGCCCCAGGGGACACUGACCCUUCUUCUGUCUCGGAAGAGGCUGUGUGUUUGCCGGGGUUGCAGGCAGGUUCCCAGAGGAGGCCUGGAGUGGCCACUCCAAGGUUCCUGGGUGUCCUCAGUACAGGCAGCUCUGUCACCCCAACCUGCUUCAGCAAUUCCUGCCCAACACCCCCGGGAGAUGCUGUCUGGUGUCCACACCUUUCUAGAGAAUUUUUUCAUUUUUUACCUUAUGAAUUGUUAGGAAAGUCUUCUUUAUUUACUAGAAAAAUCUGCCUUUCUGAAACCUUCCCUCUAAAAUGGCAUAAAAUAAGAAAUCGUACUUCGCUAUUUGACAGCUCUUCAAAUAUUAGAAGAAACUUGUCAUUCCCCACUAGUCAUCUUUUAGAGAACAAUGUGCCCAGUUCCUUAAGUGUUAACAGUAACAUGAUUUCCAGACCCCAUACCAACUGGCCACUGUCCUUAAGACAGGCACCAGUUAGACAAUAUCCCUUUUAAAAUGUGACACCAGGAAGGGAACCUGAUAUCCUAAAUGUAGUGAACCUAGCACAGCGUCCUGGGGCUCCUGCAAGUUGACACUCUCCAAAGGUCAAUGUGGCCCAAAUCUGAAUUUGGUUUUUAACCAGUAUCCCUCUUUAUUAUGGCUGGCUGCUUAGCAUGCAUAGUUUUACCUAUUCUCCAUUUGCAAAGCUAACUUUAAAAAGAAACAGUUGCUGCUGCUUCUCUGCAUUUAAGUAACAUAUUCUACUUGUGGAAAACACAGAGAAAUAUUCAAAAUAAACUAAAACCUUUCACUGAAUGUUCAGAGAUAGUCUCUGUUAAUUAUUUGUUCUAUUUUCUUCCAGAUGGUUCUCUCUGCAUAUCUUUAUGUAGUAGAGAUUAUGCCAUGCAUAUGAUUUUUGCAUUCUUAUUUUUUCACAUUAUCAACAUAAACAUUUCCUUUCUUAUAAACAUCAUCUGUAAUCCUUAUAAAAUAAAUACUUCAAUGGUUUAUUUAUAAGGAUGUUUGUUGUGACAUUAUCUGUGAUACUGAAAAACUAGACAUGAGCUGUAUUCAUUCAUUCAACAAAUUUUUGUUGAACUCAUAUUAUAUACCAGACAUGCCAUUCUCAGUGCUGGAAAUAUGUCAGUGAGAAAGACAGAAAUCCUCACUGCUGUGGUGCUUAUGUUAAGCUAAUAAUUCAAUCAGGUGGUAGUUAAGUAGAACACACCCAUAAGAUGGAGUCUACACAGCACCCAAAAUUGUGUUUUUUAAGAAUAUUUAAUGGUAUGAGAAGACAUUCACAAUUUGCUAAAUUGAAAACAAGAUACAAAGUUGUAUGAUGCCAACACGUUCAUUUCUAAAGAAGCAUGUAUGGAGUAUACAUUCUUUCCACAAGCCUCUAAUUCAUUACAAGGGAGAAAAGAACUUCUAUAAUAAUGGCAUUGGUCAGACACCACCUUAACCAAAUGACCAAAGUCAACACCAUCAAGAGUGUGACCAGGCAACAUCCUGUGUGCUGAUGUGAUACUCAGAGAGAAGACUUAGAAUCCCCUGUGUUGAAGUUGCAGGUGGGAAUGUUCAAUCUGAAUCUGGUCAUGAGAAAACAACCAGGCAAACUCAGACAGAAGCUUGGUCUCCAGAACCGGCCCAGAGCCUGUCAGGCCUGGGACGUGUCUAGAGUAGGGACACAAGGAACAUAGGAGAAGUAAAUGCCACAACUAGACUGGGUGGGGAGGCAUUGUUGAGGCAAUUGGGAAAAUUUGAUUAUAGUCUAGAGAUUAGAUAAUAUUAUAACGUUGAAUGGAUGUAAAUAACCACACUGGGGAUAUGGGAGAACACCCUUGCUCUUAGGAGAUUGUCAAAGGGAAGUAUUUCCAGGUGGAGGGUCAUGGGUUGGCAAUUAAGCCUCACAAAGUUAAACCAAAACUACAAAAAGAGAGAGAGAGAGUGUGUGUGUAGAUAGAAUGCUCUGGGGCACUACAAUCUAAAAAAGUAUUUUAAAAGGCAUAAAAAAUGACAGGAAGGAAAUGGACCGAAUUAUGCAUUAUUUGUGGAUUCAGAAAAAAUUAUUUAAGUCUUUAAAAUAUCCUUAACGACUGCCUGUUUUAUAGAUGUGUGAUGGCUUACACUGUAGGCAGAGGGGAGCCGCCAACCCCCAAAUCAAGCAGGUGGGAUGAGCACACCGCGAUGCAGGGCGAGGGGUCCGAGAGGCCAGUCGGGGCUCGCUGGACUGAGGGGCCAAGGACAGGCGCUGUGGUCAGACGCAGAGUGAGCAGGCUGUCAGCCAGGGGCUGUCACAUGCCGUUGGGGGGAGGCCACUAUUUUGAACUGAGCUCCUGCGCUGGGCCCAGCAGACCAGACCAAGGCAGAAUGGAGUCACUCACGCUGGUGCCACAACGUCCCAGUGAACUCUGAAAGGGCUGGUUUUCCCAGAAACAGGAGAUUCACAGUGGCGAUCAAAAGGGUCCCAGUUUUCCUGAGCUGGCAUGACAAGCAUGGCAUGACAAGAAAGUCCCCUGUUUUAACCCUAUAAGGAAAGUAACUUUACUGAGGUUUGCCGCUGCACUCCAGCCUGGCGACAGCGUGAGACCAUGUCUGGAAAAAACAAAGGGAAAAAGAAAGUAGCUCUAAAAUGAUCCUUUUUGUUCCCUGUUUCUACUUUCUUCAGCCCUUUUCUGCCUACAGAGCCAAGCUCCUCUGCUCAUUGGAGUGCCUUUUCGGAAUCCCCCGUGAGAUGCUGCCCGAUUCAUAGAUCACUGAUAAAAGCCAAUUUGGCGUUUAAACUAAACUUGUUGGAGUUUUGUUUUUCAGCAAUGGGCUGUGGGCAGAGAGGAGGGAGAUGUCUGAAAGCACAUGGUGGAGACCUGGCAACUGUGCAGAGACUUGCUCUGUCGCCCAGGCUAGAGUGCUGUGGAGUC
Microcebus murinus (gray mouse lemur) is the source of this 3317-nucleotide non-coding RNA. The record is from RefSeq and is a predicted model, not a curated record. Lineage: Eukaryota; Metazoa; Chordata; Mammalia; Primates; Cheirogaleidae.